RNAcentral lists this ribosomal RNA (342 nucleotides) under uncultured cyanobacterium. RNAcentral describes it as "bacterial SSU rRNA". It matches the Rfam family "Bacterial small subunit ribosomal RNA", at positions 1036 to 1382 of the family's 1533-position model. The record is from RNAcentral. Lineage: Bacteria; Bacillati; Cyanobacteriota.
AGGUGGUGCAUGGUUGUCGUCAGCUCGUGUCGUGAGAUGUUGGGUUAAGUCCCGCAACGAGCGCAACCCUCGUUCUGUGUUGCUACAUUAAGUUGAGCACUCUCAGGAGACUGCCCGUGGUAAACGGGAGGAAGUGGGACGACGUCAAAUCAUCAUGCCCCUUAUGUUCUGGGCUACACACAUGAUACAAUGGCCGAUACAAAGGGUUGCCAACCCGCAAGGGGGAGCUAAUCUCAAAAAAUCGGUCCCAGUUCGGAUUGUAGGCUGCAACUCGCCUGCAUGAAGAUGGAAUUGCUAGUAAACGCAGAUCAGCAUGCUGCGUUGAAUACGUUCCCGGGCCUU